ACGGGGAGCCCAAUGUGAAGUGGAGCUUUAGGAACCAAGAGGAGCCUAGAACAAGGUAGAGCUCUAGGUGGAAGUGGAUCGGACACUAGAUGGAAGACUCGAAAGGAUGAGAGGUGAUGUCAUAGAGUGAAGUUCCUAUUGCUACAGGAGAUUUUUUCAAGCAGAUCUUUGAUCAAAGUGAACACAGCCCAUUAUGAAGGUGGGAUCAAGCGA
RNAcentral lists this long non-coding RNA (213 nucleotides) under Elaeis guineensis (African oil palm). Its description in RNAcentral is "long non-coding RNA (EGUI_LNC033503)". Lineage: Eukaryota; Viridiplantae; Streptophyta; Magnoliopsida; Arecales; Arecaceae. The record is from RNAcentral.